RNAcentral lists this ribosomal RNA (1583 nucleotides) under Staphylococcus aureus. RNAcentral's name for it is "partial 23S ribosomal RNA". It matches the Rfam family "Bacterial large subunit ribosomal RNA", at positions 1 to 1581 of the family's 2925-position model. The record is from RNAcentral. Lineage: Bacteria; Bacillati; Bacillota; Bacilli; Caryophanales; Staphylococcaceae.
AGAUUAAGUUAUUAAGGGCGCACGGUGGAUGCCUUGGCACUAGAAGCCGAUGAAGGACGUUACUAACGACGAUAUGCUUUGGGGAGCUGUAAGUAAGCUUUGAUCCAGAGAUUUCCGAAUGGGGAAACCCAGCAUGAGUUAUGUCAUGUUAUCGAUAUGUGAAUACAUAGCAUAUCAGAAGGCACACCCGGAGAACUGAAACAUCUUAGUACCCGGAGGAAGAGAAAGAAAAUUCGAUUCCCUUAGUAGCGGCGAGCGAAACGGGAAGAGCCCAAACCAACAAGCUUGCUUGUUGGGGUUGUAGGACACUCUAUACGGAGUUACAAAGGACGACAUUAGACGAAUCAUCUGGAAAGAUGAAUCAAAGAAGGUAAUAAUCCUGUAGUCGAAAAUGUUGUCUCUCUUGAGUGGAUCCUGAGUACGACGGAGCACGUGAAAUUCCGUCGGAAUCUGGGAGGACCAUCUCCUAAGGCUAAAUACUCUCUAGUGACCGAUAGUGAACCAGUACCGUGAGGGAAAGGUGAAAAGCACCCCGGAAGGGGAGUGAAAUAGAACCUGAAACCGUGUGCUUACAAGUAGUCAGAGCCCGUUAAUGGGUGAUGGCGUGCCUUUUGUAGAAUGAACCGGCGAGUUACGAUUUGAUGCAAGGUUAAGCAGUAAAUGUGGAGCCGUAGCGAAAGCGAGUCUGAAUAGGGCGUUUAGUAUUUGGUCGUAGACCCGAAACCAGGUGAUCUACCCUUGGUCAGGUUGAAGUUCAGGUAACACUGAAUGGAGGACCGAACCGACUUACGUUGAAAAGUGAGCGGAUGAACUGAGGGUAGCGGAGAAAUUCCAAUCGAACCUGGAGAUAGCUGGUUCUCUCCGAAAUAGCUUUAGGGCUAGCCUCAAGUGAUGAUUAUUGGAGGUAGAGCACUGUUUGGACGAGGGGCCCCUCUCGGGUUACCGAAUUCAGACAAACUCCGAAUGCCAAUUAAUUUAACUUGGGAGUCAGAACAUGGGUGAUAAGGUCCGUGUUCGAAAGGGAAACAGCCCAGACCACCAGCUAAGGUCCCAAAAUAUAUGUUAAGUGGAAAAGGAUGUGGCGUUGCCCAGACAACUAGGAUGUUGGCUUAGAAGCAGCCAUCAUUUAAAGAGUGCGUAAUAGCUCACUAGUCGAGUGACACUGCGCCGAAAAUGUACCGGGGCUAAACAUAUUACCGAAGCUGUGGAUUGUCCUUUGGACAAUGGUAGGAGAGCGUUCUAAGGGCGUUGAAGCAUGAUCGUAAGGACAUGUGGAGCGCUUAGAAGUGAGAAUGCCGGUGUGAGUAGCGAAAGACGGGUGAGAAUCCCGUCCACCGAUUGACUAAGGUUUCCAGAGGAAGGCUCGUCCGCUCUGGGUUAGUCGGGUCCUAAGCUGAGGCCGACAGGCGUAGGCGAUGGAUAACAGGUUGAUAUUCCUGUACCACCUAUAAUCGUUUUAAUCGAUGGGGGGACGCAGUAGGAUAGGCGAAGCGUGCGAUUGGAUUGCACGUCUAAGCAGUAAGGCUGAGUAUUAGGCAAAUCCGGUACUCGUUAAGGCUGAGCUGUGAUGGGGAGAAGACAUU